RNA transcript from Daphnia pulicaria, 2812 nucleotides. It is a transcript of the gene named proton-coupled folate transporter-like, with no coding region annotated. The record is from RefSeq and is a predicted model, not a curated record. NCBI's taxonomy places the organism in Eukaryota, Metazoa, Arthropoda, Branchiopoda, Diplostraca, Daphniidae. The transcript has 10 exons.
UCUUGGCUAUUAGGCUACUGUUUCUGGAACGCAUUUCUGCCGCUGCAUAAAACCACGCACGGUUAUUGAUCGAAUUAUCCGUUGGAAUCGUUACUGGAAACAAACAGGCUCCUUUAAUUUACUCUAAGUUGGACCUGAUGAGCUUUUACACCGCCCAGCAAUGAUCAUUGAUCGAUCGAAGUAGAAAUCGAGUGCGCAAAGUACAACCUUGGCUGUGCCGCUUGGGAGGAUAUUUUUCAAUUUCACCACAUCAUACCUUCUGUUGUGAUCCAGGAACGACCAGAGACUGGAGCUACUAAAUAAGAAAUCAGACAAGAUCGAUGACUAAAUCAAGAAUUUAAAUCUAGUUUCAGUUAAUGCAUGUCUGCCGGUCUUCGUACGCCCGACGACCGCAAUCGAACCCAUGGUAACGGGCGUUUGUUAUGAUUCGUCUAUAGAAGAAUCCCCAUGAAAUCUUACUAUCCUACACAGUUCAAAAUGACUUAACACAAACGCCUGCCAGUAUUAUUACAGCGCAACCAUCAUUCCGAGCAACAGUCGUCCCGUACCCGUCGUGCGAAAUAGUUGUGCACAAGAAAUGGUUGACGAUACGGAAGGCAACGGAAUAGAUUUGAAGAAAGAUGGCUUUUUAAAUAAACCUUUGGAGAGCAGCAAGAGCAGUAAAUUCAGUAAGUUUCGAAUCACUGUAGAGCCGUUAGGUUUUCUAUACCUCAUUGCCAACAUCAUACAGUCGAUUGUCACGCCUAAUCUGUUUCUUUACAAAGUUUGCGCGGUCAAUUUCCAAGUCAACGCCACACUCUGCGAUCCCCGUAGUAAAAUGAACCGCAACAAUACUCAACUCGCGGAUCGUGUUCAGAGUUACGUCAGUACUUUGAAUAUUUACGGCUCGCUCAUUGACAACAUUCCUUCAAUUUUCCUGAUGCUUUUUCUAUUACCAUGGAGCGACAAGCACGGAAGAAAGCCUUUGAUGAUAGCUCCUCUGAUCGGACAUGUCCUGUGUUCUUUAUCGGACAUUACCAAUUAUUACAUUGAAUCAUUACCGGCUGAAUAUCUUUUGAUAUCCACAGUUUUUGUUGGCCUCACAGGUGGUAGAGGUAUCUAUUUUAUGGUAUUACAUAGAUAUAUUAUUGAUAUUACAACUACGGAGGCGAGGACUUGGCGUUUUUCGCUCCUUGGCGGAAUAGUUGGAAUUUCAGUACCAAUUGGAAAUUUAAUUAGUGCGUACAUUUACGCAAGCGGAGGAAAUAUAGCCAUAUGGGGAACGGCACUGGCUUUGUACACUGUCGCAUUCCUCUACAUCAUAUUUUUCUUGGAAGAUUCAUGUGGUACCAGUUCCAUCGUUGAAUCGACUGACACGCAGAUUAUCGAGAAAUGGAAAUACGGCAAACUGGAAAAUAUGAGACUAUUACCGAGGGUCAAAGAAAGUUGCGUAGGCAUAUUAAAUAAUCUAAUUCUGUGCUUUACUGAGACCUUUAAACGACGACCAGGAUAUAAAAGAGCAUGCCUGUCGAUUCUGAUGGCUUCAAUGUGUAUUUUGAUAUUUGCUAACGCAAACAAUGGCGUUGGUUAUUUGUUCACCAGGAAGAAAUUCGGCUGGGAUGCUCCGGAUUGGGCCUUUUAUGUUACAAUCGCUAGUGCUGCUGCUGUGUGUGGAACUUUAAUCCUUCUCCCCAUUCUAAGUGGAUACUUUAAAGUGCGUGAUGGUAUAAUAGGGGUUAUUUCACUUUUAGCUAACAUAGGCUCAAAUCUGACUGUCGCAUUUGCCGUGUCUCCGUUAAUGAUGUAUUUGUCAUCUAUUGGUCACUUCUUUUCUCCGCUUGCUGGAAUCAUAAUCCGUUCCAUAUUCUCCAAAACAUUGAGCAGCGAUGAAUUGAGCUAUGCUUAUUCAGUAUUAGCUUCGAUUGAAGCUGUCGUGCCUUUAAUAACGUCUCCCUCCAUUAAUCUCAUUUACCGGGCAACUCUAAGUUUCUUUCCGGGAUGCAUUUUUUUAGUGAGAGCCUGCACGCUUGUGGUUCUAUUGGUCUUAUUCGGGAUUUUACUUCUACUGAUUUGGAAAGAUUCGCAAUUAAACCAAGUCCAACCUUUUCGAAACCGCGAUGAAAAACAGACUCCUUUGAAAAGACCUAUUACCGUCCAGCAACUACCGGACUGAAUUUUAAAUUUCAUUCCAGCAGUAAUCGUUCACCAAUCACUAACUUUAUUUAAGUAUUAAAAUUUUGCACAAUUUUGCAACUGUCUGAAAAAUGUGUUUUUUUCCCAAUCGGUGAGGGUUUUGGAUCUUCUGACUAAGCAAUACGAGACAGAGGUCAGGAAAUGGAUAACUCCAUGGAAAAAUGAGAAGAAAAAGUCUCGUUUAUUCACCCGACCCGAGAGUCCACCUUCAAGUCCCCUCCCACCCUCCGCUAUAGCAAUCGGCAGACGCCCUAAGAAUAUAAAGGAUGGUGGUAGGGAGGAAGGUUUGAAUUCAUCCGUUCAUUCAUUGAACUACACAUUUGAAAUAAAUCUUAUUAUUUAAAAGGGGUUGAUCAAAAUUUUAAGAAUAAUGGUGAAAUAUAAAAAUUGUUCAAGAAUAAAAACAUUUCCAAUAUUCCGUAUUUAGCGCAAUUAAACAACGGAAAUGUAACGUAACAGACACGCAACACAAAUGUUAUACUUUCAUCAAGGAAGAGAAAGCGAGGAUAGGAACUAAUGUGUGCCUAUUUCAGCGUAAAAACAAUGUUCACACAGGUGUAUAGAAGGGGAAGAGCCCCGUGAGGGUGAAGUGAAAAGAUCAGUGAACGGUGUAGUCGAUGCUGCCCACUGGCUCCAGGUG